UGCGUAGGCGGUGCCUCAAGUUUGGUGUGAAAUCUCCCGGCUCAACCGGGAGGGUGCGCCGAAAACUGAGGUGCUCGAGUGUGGGAGAGGUAAGCGGAAUUCCUGGUGUAGCGGUGAAAUGCGUAGAUAUCAGGAGGAACACCGGCGGUGUAGACGGCUUACUGGACCAUAACUGACGCUGAGGCACGAAAGUGUGGGGAGCAAACAGGAUUAGAUACCCUGGUAGUCCACACCCUAAACGAUGCAUACUUGGUGUGAGCCAUUCAUUUGGUUCGUGCCGGAGCUAACGCGUUAAGUAUGCCGCCUGGGGAGUACGGUCGCAAGGCUGAA
This 330-nucleotide ribosomal RNA is filed under the name uncultured Bryobacter sp. Its description in RNAcentral is "bacterial SSU rRNA". It matches the Rfam family "Bacterial small subunit ribosomal RNA", at positions 568 to 898 of the family's 1533-position model. Lineage: Bacteria; Pseudomonadati; Acidobacteriota; Terriglobia; Bryobacterales; Bryobacteraceae. The record is from RNAcentral.